Molecule: ribosomal RNA, 252 nt
Filed under: uncultured bacterium
Lineage: Bacteria
Description: partial 16S ribosomal RNA
Rfam family: Bacterial small subunit ribosomal RNA
Source: RNAcentral
UACGUAGGGUGCGAGCGUUGUCCGGAAUUAUUGGGCGUAAAGAGCUCGUAGGCGGCUUGUCACGUCGGAUGUGAAAACCCGGGGCUCAACCCCGGGCCUGCAUUCGAUACGGGCAGGCUAGAGUUCGGCAGGGGAGACUGGAAUCCUGGUGUAGCGGUGAAAUGCGCAGAUAUCAGGAGGAACACCGGUGGCGAAGGCGGGUCUCUGGGCCGAUACUGACGCUGAGGAGCGAAAGCGUGGGGAGCAAACAGG